GACGAACGCUGGCGGCGUGCUUAACACAUGCAAGUCGAACGGAAAGGCCCUGCUUUUGUGGGGUGCUCGAGUGGCGAACGGGUGAGUAACACGUGAGUAACCUGCCCUUGACUUUGGGAUAACUUCAGGAAACUGGGGCUAAUACCGGAUAGGAGCUCCUGCUGCAUGGUGGGGGUUGGAGAGUUUCGGCGGUUGGGGAUGGACUCGCGGCUUAUCAGCUUGUUGGUGGGGUAGUGGCUUACCAAGGCUUUGACGGGUAGCCGGCCUGAGAGGGUGACCGGCCACAUUGGGACCGAGAUACGGCCCAGACUCCUACGGGAGGCAGCAGUGGGGAAUAUUGCACAAUGGGCGGAAGCCUGAUGCAGCAACGCCGCGUGCGGGAUGACGGCCUUCGGGUUGUAAACCGCUUUCGCCUGUGACGAAGCGUGAGUGACGGUAAUGGGUAAAGAAGCACCGGCUAACUACGUG
This 468-nucleotide ribosomal RNA is filed under the name uncultured bacterium. Its description in RNAcentral is "partial 16S ribosomal RNA". It matches the Rfam family "Bacterial small subunit ribosomal RNA", at positions 28 to 507 of the family's 1533-position model. The record is from RNAcentral.